This is a small nuclear RNA of Erinaceus europaeus (western European hedgehog), 130 nucleotides long. Its record names the gene U2. It matches the Rfam family "U2 spliceosomal RNA". Rfam says of the family: U2 is a small nuclear RNA (snRNA) component of the spliceosome (involved in pre-mRNA splicing). Complementary binding between U2 snRNA (in an area lying towards the 5' end but 3' to hairpin I) and the branchpoint sequence (BPS) of the intron results the bulging out of an unpaired adenosine, on the BPS, which initiates a nucleophilic attack at the intronic 5' splice site, thus starting the first of two transesterification reactions that mediate splicing. Lineage: Eukaryota; Metazoa; Chordata; Mammalia; Eulipotyphla; Erinaceidae. The record is from Ensembl.
AUUGCUUCUCAUCCUUUUGGCUAAGAUCAAGUGUAGUAUCUGAGUCAGGCUCACUUUUGACUUCUAUCCACAUGGGCAAAACUAAUUUCCACUAAGAGUCAAUUUCUGUAUGGGUAAGGGGAUAUCUAUU